RNAcentral lists this transfer RNA (72 nucleotides) under Ornithorhynchus anatinus (platypus). It matches the Rfam family "tRNA". From Rfam's summary of the family: Transfer RNA (tRNA) molecules are approximately 80 nucleotides in length. Their secondary structure includes four short double-helical elements and three loops (D, anti-codon, and T loops). Further hydrogen bonds mediate the characteristic L-shaped molecular structure. tRNAs have two regions of fundamental functional importance: the anti-codon, which is responsible for specific mRNA codon recognition, and the 3' end, to which the tRNAs corresponding amino acid is attached (by aminoacyl-tRNA synthetases). tRNAs cope with the degeneracy of the genetic code in two manners: having more than one tRNA (with a specific anti-codon) for a particular amino acid; and 'wobble' base-pairing, i.e. permitting non-standard base-pairing at the 3rd anti-codon position. Lineage: Eukaryota; Metazoa; Chordata; Mammalia; Monotremata; Ornithorhynchidae. The record is from Rfam by way of RNAcentral.
AGGAGUGUGACCUAGUGGAAAGAGUACAGGCCUGGGAGUCAGAGGACAUGGGUUCUAAUCCCGUCUCUGCUA